This 245-nucleotide ribosomal RNA is filed under the name uncultured Sporobacter sp. Its description in RNAcentral is "partial 16S ribosomal RNA". It matches the Rfam family "Bacterial small subunit ribosomal RNA", at positions 524 to 768 of the family's 1533-position model. Lineage: Bacteria; Bacillati; Bacillota; Clostridia; Eubacteriales; Oscillospiraceae. The record is from RNAcentral.
UACGUAGGUGGCAAGCGUUGUCCGGAUUUACUGGGUGUAAAGGGCGCGUAGGCGGGCAUGCAAGUCAGAUGUGAAAUCUCCGGGCUCAACCCGGAAAUUGCAUUUGAAACUGCGUGUCUUGAGUAUCGGAGAGGCAAGCGGAAUUCCCAGUGUAGCGGUGAAAUGCGUAGAUAUUGGGAGGAACACCAGUGGCGAAGGCGGCUUGCUGGACGACAACUGACGCUGAGGCGCGAAAGCGUGGGGAG